This 374-nucleotide long non-coding RNA is filed under the name Helianthus annuus (common sunflower). RNAcentral describes it as "hypothetical non coding rna". Lineage: Eukaryota; Viridiplantae; Streptophyta; Magnoliopsida; Asterales; Asteraceae. The record is from RNAcentral.
UAUUUAAUAUUAUUUAAAAGAAUAAAACAAAAUAUUCUAGGGUUGACUCUUGAAAUAAAGGGUAAAAAGCCUAAAAUACCCUUGGGUGACAAGAUUUAACAAGAAAAUCUAAUUGGGUUAAGCCUAAAGCACAAAACGUGCAACAAAAUUCCUUGUAAAGGGCAAAACUUGUCAAAAAGGAUACCGCCUGAUAAGUGGUAUUAAGAUAAAGGACAAAACUUGUAAUUUUUCCAAAACUAAAUUCAGUAAUCUCAGUCAAAGUAUCCUCAUUGACCUGCCAGGUAUCUUAAAACUAGCCCCAUUGGUUGAUGUACCGACAGCGAUAUGUAUCUUAAAACUAGCCCCAUUGGUUGAUGUACCGACAGCAAUACGUC